RNAcentral lists this ribosomal RNA (1581 nucleotides) under Escherichia coli. Its description in RNAcentral is "partial 23S ribosomal RNA". It matches the Rfam family "Bacterial large subunit ribosomal RNA", at positions 1 to 1617 of the family's 2925-position model. Lineage: Bacteria; Pseudomonadati; Pseudomonadota; Gammaproteobacteria; Enterobacterales; Enterobacteriaceae. The record is from RNAcentral.
GGGUUGUGAGGUUAAGCGACUAAGCGUACACGGUGGAUGCCCUGGCAGUCAGAGGCGAUGAAGGACGUGCUAAUCUGCGAUAAGCGUCGGUAAGGUGAUAUGAACCGUUAUAACCGGCGAUUUCCGAAUGGGGAAACCCAGUGUGUUUCGACACACUAUCAUUAACUGAAUCCAUAGGUUAAUGAGGCGAACCGGGGGAACUGAAACAUCUAAGUACCCCGAGGAAAAGAAAUCAACCGAGAUUCCCCCAGUAGCGGCGAGCGAACGGGGAGCAGCCCAGAGCCUGAAUCAGUGUGUGUGUUAGUGGAAGCGUCUGGAAAGGCGCGCGAUACAGGGUGACAGCCCCGUACACAAAAAUGCACAUACUGUGAGCUCGAUGAGUAGGGCGGGACACGUGGUAUCCUGUCUGAAUAUGGGGGGACCAUCCUCCAAGGCUAAAUACUCCUGACUGACCGAUAGUGAACCAGUACCGUGAGGGAAAGGCGAAAAGAACCCCGGCGAGGGGAGUGAAAAAGAACCUGAAACCGUGUACGUACAAGCAGUGGGAGCACGCUUCGGCGUGUGACUGCGUACCUUUUGUAUAAUGGGUCAGCGACUUAUAUUCUGUAGCAAGGUUAACCGAAUAGGGGAGCCGAAGGGAAACCGAGUCUUAACUGGGCGUUAAGUUGCAGGGUAUAGACCCGAAACCCGGUGAUCUAGCCAUGGGCAGGUUGAAGGUUGGGUAACACUAACUGGAGGACCGAACCGACUAAUGUUGAAAAAUUAGCGGAUGACUUGUGGCUGGGGGUGAAAGGCCAAUCAAACCGGGAGAUAGCUGGUUCUCCCCGAAAGCUAUUUAGGUAGCGCCUCGUGAAUUCAUCUCCGGGGGUAGAGCACUGUUUCGGCAAGGGGGUCAUCCCGACUUACCAACCCGAUGCAAACUGCGAAUACCGGAGAAUGUUAUCACGGGAGACACACGGCGGGUGCUAACGUCCGUCGUGAAGAGGGAAACAACCCAGACCGCCAGCUAAGGUCCCAAAGUCAUGGUUAAGUGGGAAACGAUGUGGGAAGGCCCAGACAGCCAGGAUGUUGGCUUAGAAGCAGCCAUCAUUUAAAGAAAGCGUAAUAGCUCACUGGUCGAGUCGGCCUGCGCGGAAGAUGUAACGGGGCUAAACCAUGCACCGAAGCUGCGGCAGCGACACUAUGUGUUGUUGGGUAGGGGAGCGUUCUGUAAGCCUGUGAAGGUGUGCUGUGAGGCAUGCUGGAGGUAUCAGAAGUGCGAAUGCUGACAUAAGUAACGAUAAAGCGGGUGAAAAGCCCGCUCGCCGGAAGACCAAGGGUUCCUGUCCAACGUUAAUCGGGGCAGGGUGAGUCGACCCCUAAGGCGAGGCCGAAAGGCGUAGUCGAUGGGAAACAGGUUAAUAUUCCUGUACUUGGUGUUACUGCGAAGGGGGGACGGAGAAGGCUAUGUUGGCCGGGCGACGGUUGUCCCGGUUUAAGCGUGUAGGCUGGUUUUCCAGGCAAAUCCGGAAAAUCAAGGCUGAGGCGUGAUGACGAGGCACUACGGUGCUGAAGCAACAAAUGCCCUGCUUCCAGGAAAAG